AGUGGCAGUGGCACAAUGCGAUGGUCAAAACCAAUGGCAUAGUAUAUUAUCACAAUUUCUUCUUAUCAGUUCAAUUGUUUUCUCAUUUCAUUUCAUGUAAUCAUAUAUUCAUGUUCUUUUUCUCUUCCAUAAUUAGUUGCUCUUUUUUAUUCAUUGAAAAAAUAAUUUGCCUAUUUAAUCAACCGGGAACCGGCAUAGAAAAUGGUCCGGUCCUCUUCUUAAAACCGCUGAUUCUCAAACCGCUGAAAAACUGGUGAACAGACCGGUAACUGGCUGGUUGGACCGUACCGGGAACCGACCGGUUCAUGUGAAACGGCGUCGUAUACGUUGCUGUUAAAAAAAAAAAACCAAAAUCCCCCCAACCCAUGCGAGUCCUCACCCGGUUACCCCCCCACCCCAAUACACACCAAACACCCCUCCUUCGACAAACACACUCACCAGCAAGCCCUAAGGGUCUCAAACCAAAAGCCCAGCCUUGUCAACAAAACCGUCGCCGCCGUCCGUGGUUGUCGGUGUCUCCGCGGCCUCCUCCUUCCCCUGUCCCAAAUCCAUAUGGCCAGACCUCUUCUAGCUCGGGCUCGGCACGUUGUCCAUUCGCCGGUGACUUCGCGGUUCGUGUUCGAGGCUUCCAGCUGCUGCACCGUCGUGUCUUCGUCAUCUCGCCGCCGUCGUCCUGCUGUCAGUGGCUCCGUGGACUGUGGUAACUAAGAAGAUUAUAGCUGCUGCAGAAAUUAUUAGAAGCACCAAAACCCCAACAACUAAUGCUACAUUGCUACUACAGGAAUAGCUACAUUGUUUUUCUUCUUCUCAAUUGUUUUGAUGUGUUGGUUGCAUGAUGAUAUAGAAUUACAUAGGUACGGAUUUUGCCCCACAAUAGCAUUUUUAGAUUAAAAUAAAUGAUUAAAAUUAGAUCAAGAAUUAAGACUAUCUUUGAACUUGUGAUUUUAAUUUACUAAUUAUUGAUUUUGAAUGUAUUAUGAUUAUUGAUUAGUGAUGUGUUGCUGAGUUGUUGUGUAAUCUUAAUGGAAUCUCCUCUUUCUCUUGAAUUUUGGAAACAACAUCAUGGGUUUGAUGACCGGUCUGGUUCUCAGAACCUUGGUCAAAACUAAUCUAAUAGUAGAGGGCCUAAUCACAGGGCUAAAAAUCUGAUUAUAGUCAAUCCCUUCCGAUUGAUGAAAGCCCUUUCCUACAAGCCUUGCUUUGUAUCUAAUUAUAGAAUUAUCAAGAGCUCUUUUGAUUGCAAACACCCAUUUGCAACCAAUGAUGGUACAUUGGAUGGAGGAUCAACAAGAGUCCAUGUGUAUCAAAACAUCAUACUCCUCCUACAUUGCCUUGAACCAGUGUGGGCAAUUAACAGCCUGUUCGACGGUUUUAGGAAUUUCCUCUGUUAAGUCAAUAUCAAGGUAAGCAGAAUUGCAUAUUUUUUGUUUUGAAAUCCCAGCUUUAUCUCUAGUAAUCAUUGAGUGAGUGUUAAGAGAAGUAUGUUUAGCAGUUUUUAAAGGAGUAGGGACUUGAACAUGUUAGAUGAACACAGAGUAAUGUAGAAAAUGAUUCAUAUUUUUGUAGGCUAAUUCCCUCACAGCUAUUCAUAAGCUCUUCUGUCGACAUUACGAGAUUUUGGUGCCGAGUAUAAAGCUGACAAAUGCGAUUUGUUUGCAGGAGGGUUCGAAAAAGUCUGACUACUAUCAUAACUUGACCAAAUACUUUUUUGAGGGAAUACAAAUUUAAAAAGCCAACAAGCAAUGAACAGCCAAAAAAAAAAUUUAAAUUGCACCAACCGGAGAAGAUGAUGAUGAGUCUGGUGUGGAUUCAGAUUAAGUAUGGUGGCUGUUUGGUUUUUGUUUGUUUUACAUUGACUGUUUCGGUUUAAAAUGUGUUUAUUUUUGUUGUUUUGCUAGACAUUUUUAAUUGUCUUUGUUUUAUGUUUAAUUAAAUUGAAUUUGUAUUGAAUUUGGAUGUGAUAUACUCUUGUUAUUCUAGUUUAUUGAAGGUUUUAAACUUCAUUUUAUUGGAAUUUAAAUUCUGAUUAUUAGGUAUAAAAAAACCGAAAAAAUUGACCGAAUCAAAUUACUGUUGGUUUGAUUCGGUUCGGUUGUUCAAACAACAGCCAACCAAAUGGCUGGUAUCAUUGUAGAACCGAUUAGGUCGGUUCGAUUGAUUUUUGGUCUAAAACCAAACUAAAUCAAACCGAUUACAUCCCUCCCCGCAAGAAUUCACGCUUAGCAUGCAACUGGUUCAUACUUUGGUUAGUUUAUAAUGGUUCAAAAUUCUACUGUUUUUGGUUUAAAAGAGUCAAU
Arachis duranensis is the source of this 2297-nucleotide long non-coding RNA. RefSeq lists it as uncharacterized. NCBI's taxonomy places the organism in Eukaryota, Viridiplantae, Streptophyta, Magnoliopsida, Fabales, Fabaceae. The transcript is spliced from 4 exons. The record is from RefSeq and is a predicted model, not a curated record.